This 468-nucleotide ribosomal RNA is filed under the name uncultured bacterium. RNAcentral describes it as "partial 16S ribosomal RNA". It matches the Rfam family "Bacterial small subunit ribosomal RNA", at positions 28 to 507 of the family's 1533-position model. The record is from RNAcentral.
GACGAACGCUGGCGGCGUGCUUAACACAUGCAAGUCGAACGGAAACGCCCUGCUUUUGUGGGGUGCUCGAGUGGCGAACGGGUGAGUAACCCGUGAGUAACCUGCCCUUGACUUUGGGAUAACUUCAGGAAACUGGGGCUAAUACCGGAUAGGAGCUCCUGCUGCUUGGUGGGGGCUGGAAAGUUUCGGCGGUUGGGGAUGGACUCGCGGCUUAUCAGCUUGUUGGUGGGGUAGUGGCUUACCAAGGCUUGGCCGGGUAGCCGGCCUGAGAGGGUGACCGGCCACAUUGCGACUGAGAUACGGCCCAGACUCCUACGGGAGGCAGCAGUGGGGAAGAGUGCACAAUGGGCGGAAGGCUGAUGCAGCAACGCCGCGUGCGGGAUGACGGCAAUCGGGUUGGAAUCCGCUUUCGCCUGUGACGAAGCGUGAGUGACGGUAAUGGGUAAAGAAGCACCGGCUAACUACGUG